UCUCCGUUGGUGAACCAGCGGAGGGAUCAUUACAGAGUUGCAAAACUCCCAAACCAUUGUGAACGUUACCUAUCCCGUUGCUUCGGCGGGCGGCCCGGGCCCCGCGCCCGGCGCCCCCCGGCCCCCCGUGGGCGCCCGCCGGAGAUAAACCAAACCCUUGAAUUGCAUGGCCUCUCUGAGUCUUCUGUACUGAAGAAGUCAAAACUUUCAACAACGGAUCUCUUGGUUCUG
This 231-nucleotide unclassified non-coding RNA is filed under the name plant metagenome. RNAcentral describes it as "partial contains small subunit ribosomal RNA, internal transcribed spacer 1, and 5.8S ribosomal RNA". The record is from RNAcentral.